Molecule: long non-coding RNA, 225 nt
Filed under: Elaeis guineensis (African oil palm)
Lineage: Eukaryota; Viridiplantae; Streptophyta; Magnoliopsida; Arecales; Arecaceae
Description: long non-coding RNA (EGUI_LNC011449)
Source: RNAcentral
GGAGUUAUUAUAUAUUUGCUUUUGAUGUUUUAAAAUUUGAUGUAGGGAUUGAUUUUAUUUAUUAUUUAUUUGAUAAAGUAUUAUAUUUGAAAGUUUUUAAAUUUUAAAUUUUUUUAAUUUUUAUAAAAUUUUUAAUUAUUUUAAUUUUUUGAUGAGUUAUAAGGACCGAUCCAUUUAGACCUUUCAUUUAUUAGGGCUAGGACUGGAUUGUCUAUUUGAUGGCCC